CUUUUAAAUAAUAAAUUAUAUACUAUGUUGUACUAACACAGAAUUUCAUUUAUAUUUUAUUUUAGACAGUAAUAAUUUAUCAAGCCUCCUCGGUGAUAAACUCUGGAAAUAACAUGACUGCUGAUCCUACUACCAUAACCACAGAUGAAUAAUGUAUUGAUAUUAAAGAAUAUCUUCUAGGGAAGAUAUGACAUUACCUUUUCAUCACUACUUUUCAGAUGCCUAAGUAGUUUUGAGAAAUUUUCUAUUUGUUUUUUUGCAGACUAGCAGCUCCUCUGCUGCCAGUCUGCAGUUUCCACUUCAGCUUAGACCAUUUUCUAUUUUUGAACUAAUCAAAGCAAACUAAUGCUUCUCCAUGAGAAUCAUUAUUAUAGCACUAUCGAAGGUAGUAUAUUACUGCUCUACAGCUGUGCAACUCAUAUAGCCCCGUACACAAACACCUUCUGCAAACUAGAUUACUUCCUGAGAUGCGAGGCCUCAUUUUGAUUCUUCAUAAAAGCAACUUUUUCAUUAACAUCAAACAAAAUAUUAGUUUUCUUUUCUUGACAUAGGUAUCUUUGGUGCUUGUUAUAUAACUGGACUAUAUCACUCCCUCUAGAAUGUAAGCUUAUUGAGCACGGCCCUCCACCUCUCUGUUCCUCUACGUCCAGUUGUUUGGUUAUAAUUACAUGUCUGUUAGUCCACCCAUUGUACAGCACUACGGAAUCUGAUGGCGCUAUAUAAAUAAUAAUAAUAUACAUUGCACUACUACCAUGCUGCAAAGGGUUAAAGGAACACUAUAGUUUUAGGAGUAGAAAACUGUAUUUUUAACACUAUAGUGUCCUUCUGCUGCUGUCCCCUUACCCCACUGGCAAAAAGGGUUUAAAAACAUGAUUACCUGGUCGGGCUGCUCCACUACCCAUGUCAUGCCGAUCAUGCAGUGCCUUAGGUUUUCCCAUAGGAAAUCAAUGCUUUUCAAUGGGUUUUUUCAAGAGGCUGGACGUAAUCAUACAAGGAGUGACAUCCAGCGUUGUUUCAUGGAGUUAAACUGCAGGAAGCGUCACUAAUGACUGUCUGGAAGACAGCCACUAGAGGCAGUCUUAACCAUGCAAUAUAAACAUUGCAUUUUCUCUAAAUAUGCAGGGUUUUUACAUUGCAGGGUUAAGAGGACAGUGACAAUGAAUCCAGGCCACUUCCAUAAGAUGAAGUGGUCUGUGUACCAAUAGUGUCCCUUUAAUACACAGUAAUUAUGGUAGGGCAAACUACAAACAAGAUUAAACAAGUUAACGCUGUCAGGCUCUGCAUUUUAAAGUUUAGUCUUUAAUAACUGUCCCUUCAAUAUGGGGGGAAAAGAGAACUACAUUAGGGUCAUAUCACAAUCACAGAAUUCUCCUCCUCCAUGGCCCUAAACUAGACUACAGAAUGCAACCUAGAGUAUGUAAUACAGAGAGCAGGCACAAUGCAUGGGCGUCCGCAGGAGUUUUUCCAGGGGUGGGGGAUAAUUGUAAUGACAUCCAUGCUUGGUACCUUUUUGACAGUGUAAUGAAAGGGAAGGGGCAUUGCCAUUAUCACAUAAAGCCAGGGUGAAUAGCGUUUUCACAACUAUGGUGUCACUAUAGUGUUCCUUUAAGCAAAUUAAAGGACCAUUCUGGUCACCAUAACAACUUCACCUAAAUGAAAAUGCCAUGAUGCCAGGAAGCCCCUGGGUGCUUGCUUUCCUUUAAGGGAUUAAAUCGCUCACAAAUGGUUUAACCCCAAAGGCUUCCUCCAGCUCCAGGUUGCUCAGUGGUAUUUGGCUUCUGAAACAGGGUGUCAGGAAGUGCAGAUUGACGUCAGGCAUGGGUGCAGCUGGUUGGCUAGAGUGGACAGUUGACGCUCUAAGCCAAUCGCUACUUCCCGGUUCAUAAAAUAUUUUUAAUUUUUUAUGAAUGGGGAGCUACUAAUUGGCUUAGAGUGCCAUCUGACCGCUCUAGACAAUCAGCAACACCCCUACCCAAUGGCACUCUGUGCUUCCUGACACUCAGUAAAUAAAAGUGAACACAUUAAUACUGAUAUUUUUUUACCUUUGGAGAUGAGAAGGUCCAGCGUUUCCCUGCCUGGCCCAGGUACCAAAGCCUUAUGAUGUGGUGUUCAGAAUAAAGUGGAGGGUUCACUUCAUUUGUCCUUCCUACUCCAAUCUCCUUUUCCUCUCCUUCAUUUGACAGUCUUUUUUUUUCUUCUGACACUGUUUUCUAUCCUUGGCCCCUUCUGCUUUUUUACCUUUCUGCUCUUUCUCCUACUUUACCUCUGUGCUCCUUCUGAUUCUUUCUGCUCCUUGCUGCCCCUUUCUGCCCCUUGCAGGCCCUUCCUGCUCCUUGCUGCCCCUUGCAGGCCCUUCCUGCUCAUUCUCCUACUUUACCUUUGUGCUCCUUCUGCCCCUUCCAGCUCAUUUCUGACCCUUUCUGCUCCUUCUACUUUACCUUUGUGCUGCUUUACCUUCCAGCUCCUUGCUGACCCUUCCUGUUCAUUUCUGUUCCUUUGUGCUCCUUCUCCUACUUUACCUUUUGUGCUCCUUGCUGUCCCUUCCACAGCUCCUUGCUGCCCCUUUCUGCUCCUUGAUGUCCCUUCCUGCUCAUUUCUGUUCCUUCUCCUUUUCUUACCUUACCUUCCUGCUCCUUGCUGACUCUUCAUGUAUGCUGUCUCCCCCAUACCUCACUUCUAUAGGCGUGCGCACGGGGUGUGUCGGGUGUGCCCUGGCACACCCUAAUCACUGCGGCACGCCAAUGGAUUGAGACUGGCAGGGGAGACCUCUAGAUCUCCCUGGUCGGCUCAUGCAGAGCCGACGCUAUCCGAGCGGCGGCUCUGGUCUAAGCCUCCAUGGGCCGGUGGGGAGAUCAAAGUUCUACCUCACCGGUCCACAGCAGCAUGGAGGGAGGCAGCAGACAACCCGGGCUAGAGUUCACUCUCCACUAAACCACCAGGGAAGGCAGCAGGACUGGGAUAUUAACUAGUCUGCCCCCACCUCCACCCAAACAUACAGCACACACACAUACAGCACACACAGCCCACACAGCCCACAAACAGCACACACACAUCACCCUCGCACACACAGCACCCACACACAUACAACACCCACACACACAUCCAGCACACUAACAGCAUCCUCACAAACAGACAAAACCCACACACAACACCCGCACAGCACCCACACACAAACAGCACACUCUCAUACAAACAGCACCCUGACAAACACACAACACCCACACACACAUCCAGCACACUAACAGCAUCCUCACAAACACACAAAACCCACACACAACACCCGAACAAACAUGCACACACAAACACCCUCUCACACACACACACAGCACACUACCAGUUCCCUCACAAACAGCACCCUCACACACAGCACACUAACAGCACCCUCACACACACACACAGCAGUGUGUGUAUACAUAUAUAUAUAUAUAUAUAACAGAUAUAGAGAUUAUAUAUAUAUAAAUAUAUAUAUACAUACAUAUACACACACACACACACAUACAUAUACACAUGGCGUGUGUUUGUGCUUUAGGGUGCACACCCUAAUGCAAUAGGCUGCGCACGCCUAUGCUCACUUCCCUAAUCUAUAGGCUGCCCCCCCAUGCCUCACUCCCCUAAUCUAUAGGCUGCUGUCCCCUCCCAAAAUCUAUAGGCUGCUGCCCCCUCCCC
This 3666-nucleotide long non-coding RNA is filed under the name Pelobates cultripes (western spadefoot toad). The record is from RNAcentral. Lineage: Eukaryota; Metazoa; Chordata; Amphibia; Anura; Pelobatidae.